UACGUAGGGGGCAAGCGUUGUCCGGAAUCAUUGGGCGUAAAGAGCGUGUAGGCGGCCUGAUAAGUCGGUUGUGAAAGUCAAGGGCUCAACCCUUGAAUGCCGGCCGAUACUGUCAGGCUAGAGUCCGGAAGAGGCGAGUGGAAUUCCUGGUGUAGCGGUGAAAUGCGCAGAUAUCUGGAGGAACACCAGUGGCGAAGGCGGCAUCCUGGACCGGCAUUGACGCUGAGGCGCGAAAGCUAGGGGAGCAAACGGG
RNAcentral lists this ribosomal RNA (253 nucleotides) under uncultured bacterium. Its description in RNAcentral is "partial 16S ribosomal RNA". It matches the Rfam family "Bacterial small subunit ribosomal RNA", at positions 524 to 776 of the family's 1533-position model. The record is from RNAcentral.